This is a long non-coding RNA of Macrobrachium nipponense, 1435 nucleotides long. RefSeq lists it as uncharacterized. The record is from RefSeq and is a predicted model, not a curated record. The transcript is spliced from 3 exons. NCBI's taxonomy places the organism in Eukaryota, Metazoa, Arthropoda, Malacostraca, Decapoda, Palaemonidae.
UUCACUUACGCACUAUCGUAUGAGAUAUGGUUAUUUGCGAAGUUCGUCGAAGUUAUCGUCUGUAUAAGAAGUUUGCGUGGUGGACGGUUUGACGGUUGAAAUUUCUGCUUUUGUUAAGCUACGUCCUGCUCUUAUUUUAGUUAUUAGUUUGCCAGAUUAGUUUUAGUUUCGAUUAAUGUUAAUUUUGCGUGACGUUACUGAUGGAUAUUCUAUGUUCUUAAGUGGCUGAUCUUCAUCUUCAGAGGAGUGUUCGAUUUCUGGAUCCUGCAUCGCAACGGAAGCUCUUAUCUUCAGCUGCAUUGUUGGUAACUAUAUUGAACUACAGGGUUGGUUGGUCAGAAGAGUAGUCAUGUUAGCUUUUAAAAUUGCUAUACCAGACUGCUUGGGUAGCUGAAAUUGAAACUACACAGAUUGGCUGCUUGCAAGAAGCCUUAGUCAGUACGUUCAAGUGGCUGAGGGGUGUAGCCAUUUGUAGACUGGUAACAGGGCCGGAUUUAGCGGUGGGCAAUGAGGGCACCUGCCCAGGGGCCUCCACAUUUUAGGGGGCCUCAAAAAAAGGACCCAGGCUUAAAUAAUUUUUAAUUUCUGUAAAAAUAUAUGGAAUAAGUUUUUUUUAGUCUGGAAUAAAACAAAAUUGUGGAUAUUUAUGAUAAUCUUUUUUCACCACUGAAAACUACAGUAAAAUCAAAGUAAAAAACAUGAUUAUUAGAAAUUUAGGCUGUUUACAGUUACCCCUAAAAUUACCUCCUAUAUCUAUUUUUGAAUGCAUUGUUGGUUUACAAAAUAAUGAUCGACUCAGUCACCUGGCUUUGAUGAGCAUUGAGUAUGACAUCCUCAGACAUUGACUUUGACAUAUUGAUCACCAAAUUUGCAAGGGCCAAGUCUCGUAAAGUGUGGUCUGUAAAUACAGAUACCGCUAUAGUUUUUCUAUUCUACGAAGAAACUUUGAUUUUAAGAUUGGCGGCACUGAGUAUGGGUCAUGCACCUUCGAAAAAUGGUCAGUUUGUACAGUCAGGUGUGAAGUCCUGAUGAGUGAAGGCAAACUAACAUUUAGAUUUGUGGUAAUAAAACGCAUGCUAUUUAUUUGAAAUUGCUUUUCAUAAACUUUUUAUACUAGUGUGCAGAGUCAGGAGAGGUCAUUUUGCACAAUUUAUUAAGAUUACCAAAAUUCAUUACUGGCAGGAUCGGCAAUGAAUAUUUCCCGGUGGAGCUUACAGCGACCCCCGGUGAGGCUUGCUUCGCUCGCCACCCGCCUCAAGCAGGGUGGGCCUCCACACACUUGAUUGCCCAGGGGCAUCCACAUGCCUAAAUCCGGCCCUGCUGGUAGAGUGGCUGAUUGGUGCAGCCAUUUGUGGCUUUAGUGGCUAAAAUUGCAGCCAUUUUUCGACUGGUUAAGUGGCUGAAUAUGCAGAUUGUAGUUACUUGAGUUGGUUUG